GCCUCUUCGUGGUUCAGUGGGUCAGGGCUUUUGGCUGUUAACCAGAAGGUUGGUGGUUUGAGCCCAUCCAGGGAUG
Molecule: non-coding RNA, 76 nt
Organism: Podarcis lilfordi (Lilford's wall lizard)
Lineage: Eukaryota; Metazoa; Chordata; Lepidosauria; Squamata; Lacertidae
Source: the annotation of a GenBank genome assembly